GAUGAAGAACGUAGCGAAAUGCGAUAAGUAGUGUGAAUUGCAGAAUUCAGUGAAUCAUCGAAUCUUUGAACGCACAUUGCGCCCCUUGGUAUUCCAUGGGGCAUGCCUGUUCGAGCGUCAUUUGUACCCUCAAGCUUUGCUUGGUGUUGGGCGUCUUGUCGUAUUACGACUCGCCUUAAAUACAUUGGCAGCCGGCACUUUGGCCUAGGAGCGCAGCACAUUUUGCGAUCGUAGCCCGUUGUACUGGCGUCCAUCAAGAACAUUUACCACGUUUGACCUCGGAUCAGGUAGGGAUACCCGCUGAACUUAAGCAUACAAUAAGCGGAGGA
RNAcentral lists this unclassified non-coding RNA (329 nucleotides) under soil metagenome. Its description in RNAcentral is "partial contains 5.8S ribosomal RNA, internal transcribed spacer 2, and large subunit ribosomal RNA". The stretch from base 1 to 120 matches the Rfam family "5.8S ribosomal RNA", at positions 35 to 154 of the family's 154-position model. The record is from RNAcentral.